GAUGAACGCUAGCUACAGGCUUAACACAUGCAAGUCGAGGGGCAUCAUGACGAUAGCUUGCUAUUGUUGAUGGCGACCGGCGCACGAGUGCGUAACACGUAUCCAACCUGCCCUGUACCGGGGGAUAACACUUAGAAAUAGGUGAUAAUACCGCAUAAGCGCACACUGACGCAUGUCAGAGUGUGAAAAACUCCGGUGGUACAGGAUGGACCCGCGUCUGAUUAGCUUGUUGGCGGGGUAACGGCCCACCAAGGCGACGAUCAGUAGCCGGCCUGAGAGGGUGAACGGCCACAUUGGGACUGAGACACGGCCCAGACUCC
RNAcentral lists this ribosomal RNA (320 nucleotides) under uncultured Lachnospiraceae bacterium. Its description in RNAcentral is "bacterial SSU rRNA". It matches the Rfam family "Bacterial small subunit ribosomal RNA", at positions 28 to 339 of the family's 1533-position model. The record is from RNAcentral. Lineage: Bacteria; Bacillati; Bacillota; Clostridia; Lachnospirales; Lachnospiraceae.